This 102-nucleotide ribosomal RNA is filed under the name Paraphoma sp. RNAcentral describes it as "partial 28S ribosomal RNA". The record is from RNAcentral. Lineage: Eukaryota; Fungi; Ascomycota; Dothideomycetes; Pleosporales; Phaeosphaeriaceae.
UUUUGACCUCGGAUCACGUAGGGAUACCCGCUGAACUUAAGCAUAUCAAUAAGCAGGAGGAAGGGAUACCCGCUGAACUUAAGCAUAUCAAUAAAGCGGAGG